Molecule: long non-coding RNA, 893 nt
Filed under: Panax ginseng (ginseng)
Lineage: Eukaryota; Viridiplantae; Streptophyta; Magnoliopsida; Apiales; Araliaceae
Description: long non-coding RNA (PGIN_LNC007817)
Source: RNAcentral
AAUUCCAGGGUUUCGAGAAAUGAAAAUAUGUGGUAUUAUGUAGCUCGUGUCCAAAAAUGAGCUAAUUCCGAGUUAAAACGGCCAAGUUAUGACUAUUCUAGUUUUUGUGAUUUUCUGACGGAAAUCGCUAUAACCGGAGUUCUACAACUCUGAUUGCCACGAAAUUUAAAAUGGAGCAUCACGUUAACAUAUAUAAGGUUAUGUCAAAAUAUGGGCAUCUCUGGAGUUAAGCACGAGGUAGCUAAUUUUCUUAAGUCACGCACUAAUUCUGAUUUUUGAAAAAUAGAAUUAAUGCUUUAAAAAUCAUAUAAAAAUGAUUUAUGUGUUAUAAAAAUAUUCUAAGUUAUAAACUAUAACUUUUGAUAUUUUGUCAUGAAAAUAUUAAUAUUUUAUUAUUAAUAUCAAUUAUCGGAUAAUGAUUUUAAGUUUUUAAAAAUCAUAUAAAUGUGAUUUUAAGGUAUUAAAAAUACCGUGAUAUAUUAUAAAUUAUAUUAUAAUAUUAUGUAAUGAUUUUCAUUAAUAUUUGAUAUUAAAUAGAUAUUAAUGAUUAAAGAAUUAUGUGGUAUUUAAUUCAUUUAAAUACGUUAUUAAUGAUCGGAAAAUUUAGAUAAAUGAUAUUAAUUAUCUGAAAAAUAUUUCGAGCUUAUGAAAAUCAUUUAGACUGAUAAGAAAAUUAUCUGUGAUAUCGUCAAGUGUUUAGGCAGAGUUUAAUUAAACUUAGACUCCUUAAAUUGUCCGACUAGACCGUCGGGAUGAUAGAAUUGUACCGAUUUCAACUCGGACUGAAAUAGUUUGACUUGAAGCUAUGUCUUAUGUGUAUAAGAGACUGAUAAGAUUAUGUGGUAAUAUGUUUAAGUUAUUUUAUAACUGUGAUGAUAUUAUUCUAAUACUGG